RNAcentral lists this ribosomal RNA (636 nucleotides) under Salmonella enterica. Its description in RNAcentral is "partial 23S ribosomal RNA". It matches the Rfam family "Bacterial large subunit ribosomal RNA", at positions 1 to 668 of the family's 2925-position model. The record is from RNAcentral. Lineage: Bacteria; Pseudomonadati; Pseudomonadota; Gammaproteobacteria; Enterobacterales; Enterobacteriaceae. RNAcentral also lists the same sequence under 1 other name.
GGGUUGUGAGGUUAAGCGACUAAGCGUACACGGUGGAUGCCCUGGCAGUCAGAGGCGAUGAAGGGCGUGCUAAUCUGCGAUAAGCGCCGGUAAGGUGAUAUGAACCGUUAUAACCGGCGAUACCCGAAUGGGGAAACCCAGUGUGAUUCGUCACACUAUCAUUAACUGAAUCCAUAGGUUAAUGAGGCGAACCGGGGGAACUGAAACAUCUAAGUACCCCGAGGAAAAGAAAUCAACCGAGAUUCCCCCAGUAGCGGCGAGCGAACGGGGAGGAGCCCAGAGCCUGAAUCAGCAUGUGUGUUAGUGGAAGCGUCUGGAAAGGCGCGCGAUACAGGGUGACAGCCCCGUACACAAAAGCGUAUGUGCUGUGAGCUCGAUGAGUAGGGCGGGACACGUGGUAUCCUGUCUGAAUAUGGGGGGACCAUCCUCCAAGGCUAAAUACUCCUGACUGACCGAUAGUGAACCAGUACCGUGAGGGAAAGGCGAAAAGAACCCCGGCGAGGGGAGUGAAAAAGAACCUGAAACCGUGUACGUACAAGCAGUGGGAGCACAGGUUUACCUGUGUGACUGCGUACCUUUUGUAUAAUGGGUCAGCGACUUAUAUUCUGUAGCAAGGUUAACCGUAUAGGGGAGCCG